UCCAUCGUGUCCGACUCUGUGCGACCCCAUAGACAGCAGCCCACCAGGCUCCCCCAUCCCUGGGAUUCUCCAGGCAAGAACACUGGAGUGGGUUGCCAUUUCCUUCACAAUGCAUGAAAGUGAAAAGUGAAAGUGAAGUCGCUCAGUCAUGUCUGACUCUUCAGGACCCCAUGGACUGCAGCCUACCAGGCUCCUCCGUCCAUGGGAUUUUCCAGGCAAGAGUACUGGAGUGGGGUGCCAUCGCCUUCUCUGGAUCUGCCUGCCUAGCCUUCUGAAUUCUUAUCUGUACUGCACAAAAAGGGAGGGCUACAGGCAGAAGCUGAAGGAUACAUUCUCAUAAGGUGAUGCGUGACCUGGCAGCUUGAUCAUCACUACCUAGGAGGCAAAAGUGACAGAACUGGGGGGAGGUGGCAUCACCCAGUGAGAACUUCGGGGAGUGCAGCAGCUCCUCAGCCUCCUGCUGAUUUGGGCCAUGAGGUACUGGAGACUCUUGGAGGAAUCUGGACUGUCGAGAACACCGGAGCCAUGAGGAGUCUUCUGCUUCUGGACAAAACGGAAAAACAGGGGCCAUGAAAUUAAAAGACGCUUACUCCUCAGAAGGAAAGUUAUGUCCAACCUAGAUAGCAUAUUGAAAAGCAGAGACAUUACUUUGCCAACAAAGGUCCGUCUAGUCAAGGCUAUGGUUUUUCCUGUGGUCAUGUAUGGAUGUGAGAGUUGGACUGUGAAGAAGGCUGAGUGCUGAAGAAUUGAUGCUUUUGAACUGUGGUGUUGGAGAAGACUCUUGAGAGUCCCUUGGACUGCAAGGAGAUCCAACCAGUCCAUUCUGAAGGAGAUCAGCCCUGGGAUUUCUUUGGAAGGAAUGAUGCUAAAGCUGAAACUCCAGUACUUUGGCCACCUCAUGUGAAGAGUUGACUCAUUGGGAAAGACUCUGAUGCUGGGAGGGAUUGGGGGAAGGAGGAGAAGGGGACGACAGAGGAUGAGAUGGCUGGAUGGCAUCACUGACUCGAUGGACAUGCGUCUGAGUGAACUCUGGGACUUGAUGAUGGACAGGGAGGUCUGGCGUGCUGCGAUUCAUGGGAUUGCAAAGAGUCAGACACGACUGAGCGACUGAACUGAACUGAGUCUACUCUUACAUCUUGUAAUAGGAUGAA
Molecule: long non-coding RNA, 1151 nt
Organism: Bos taurus (domestic cattle)
Lineage: Eukaryota; Metazoa; Chordata; Mammalia; Artiodactyla; Bovidae
Source: Ensembl